RNAcentral lists this ribosomal RNA (428 nucleotides) under uncultured bacterium. RNAcentral's name for it is "partial 16S ribosomal RNA". It matches the Rfam family "Bacterial small subunit ribosomal RNA", at positions 354 to 796 of the family's 1533-position model. The record is from RNAcentral.
GUGGGGAAUAUUGGGCAAUGGGCGCAAGCCUGACCCAGCAACGCCGCGUGAAGGAAGAAGGCUUUCGGGUUGUAAACUUCUUUUACCAGGGACGAAACAAAUGACGGUACCUGGUGAAUAAGCCACGGCUAACUACGUGCCAGCAGCCGCGGUAAUACGUAGGUGGCGAGCGUUAUCCGGAUUUAUUGGGUGUAAAGGGCGUGUAGGCGGGACAGCAAGUCAGAUGUGAAAACCAGAGGCUCAACCUCUGGCCUGCAUUUGAAACUGUUGUUCUUGAGUGUCGGAGAGGUAAUCGGAAUUCCGUGUGUAGCGGUGAAAUGCGUAGAUAUUAGGAGGAACACCAGUGGCGAAGGCGGCUUUCUGGACUGUAACUGACGCUGAGGCACGAAAGCGUGGGGAGCAAACAGGAUUAGAUACCCUAGUAGUCC